CCGCACAAGCGGUGGAGCAUGUGGUUUAAUUCGACGCAACGCGAAGAACCUUACCAGGGCUUGACAUCCCCUGACCGCGUAUGAAAGUACGUUUUCACCCUCGGGUGACAGGGAGACAGGUGGUGCAUGGUUGUCGUCAGCUCGUGUCGUGAGAUGUUGGGUUAAGUCCCGCAACGAGCGCAACCCCUACGUUUAGUUGCUAACGCGUGAAGGCGAGCACUCUAGACGAACUGCCGUUGACAAAACGGAGGAAGGUGGGAUGACGUCAAAUCAUCAUGCCCCUUAUGUUCUGGGCUACACACGUGCUACAAUGGCCGGUACAGACGGACGCAAAGCCGCGAGGUGGAGCAAAUCCUAAAAAGCCGGUCUCAGUUCGGAUUGCAGGCUGCAAUUCGCCUGCAUGAAGUCGGAAUCGCUAGUAAUCGCAGGUCAGCAUACUGCGGUGAAUACGUUCCCGGGCCUU
Molecule: ribosomal RNA, 463 nt
Filed under: uncultured Pelotomaculum sp.
Lineage: Bacteria; Bacillati; Bacillota; Clostridia; Eubacteriales; Desulfotomaculaceae
Description: bacterial SSU rRNA
Rfam family: Bacterial small subunit ribosomal RNA
Source: RNAcentral